Cavia porcellus (domestic guinea pig) is the source of this 265-nucleotide regulatory RNA element. It matches the Rfam family "Mason-Pfizer monkey virus packaging signal". Rfam says of the family: The packaging signal is located in the 5' UTR and is required for specific RNA encapsidation. The record is from Rfam. Lineage: Eukaryota; Metazoa; Chordata; Mammalia; Rodentia; Caviidae.
UGGGGCCCCAUCAUGGGGCCCAAGAAUGGGGGACUUAGAGAAGGAUGCUGUUCAUGGGUCCAAAGUAGAAAAGGGAAAAGAAAAUAGAGGACCAACAUGGGAGCCUGCCAUGCUGCUGAACCUCAGUAAGUGAUUAUGGGACAAGAAAUUAGCCAACACGAGAUUUUUGUUUAAAAUUUAGUAAAACUUUUAAAGACACAAGGAAUUAAGGUGAAUAUUGAAUAAUUAUGCCAAUACUUUGAUUUUAUAAAAGAGGUUUGCCCUU